This 85-nucleotide transfer RNA is filed under the name Photobacterium phosphoreum. RNAcentral's name for it is "tRNA-Leu". It matches the Rfam family "tRNA". From Rfam's summary of the family: Transfer RNA (tRNA) molecules are approximately 80 nucleotides in length. Their secondary structure includes four short double-helical elements and three loops (D, anti-codon, and T loops). Further hydrogen bonds mediate the characteristic L-shaped molecular structure. tRNAs have two regions of fundamental functional importance: the anti-codon, which is responsible for specific mRNA codon recognition, and the 3' end, to which the tRNAs corresponding amino acid is attached (by aminoacyl-tRNA synthetases). tRNAs cope with the degeneracy of the genetic code in two manners: having more than one tRNA (with a specific anti-codon) for a particular amino acid; and 'wobble' base-pairing, i.e. permitting non-standard base-pairing at the 3rd anti-codon position. RNAcentral also lists the same sequence under 8 other names. Lineage: Bacteria; Pseudomonadati; Pseudomonadota; Gammaproteobacteria; Vibrionales; Vibrionaceae. The record is from RNAcentral.
GCCCGAGUGGUGAAAUUGGUAUACACGACGGAUUCAAAAUCCGUUUCCUUCGGGAGUGUCGGUUCAAGUCCGACCUCGGGCACCA